GCAGGGUGGCCAGUAAUCAGCACAAUUUAGAAUGUGGGCACUCGGCAGUCAUUGCGCAGGCACUUUGGUGACUCUUGAUAACCUUGGGCCGAUCGCACGACCCUUUGAUGGCGACAACGCAUUUGGAUGUCUGCCCUAUCAACUUUCAAUGGUACUUUCUGUGCCUACCAAGGUGACCAUGGGUAACAGGGAAUCAGGGUUCGAUUCCGGAGAGGGAGCCUGAGAAACAGCUACCACAUCCAAGGAAGGCAGCAGGCACGCAAAUUACCCACUCCUGACGCGGGGAGGUAGUGAC
RNAcentral lists this ribosomal RNA (295 nucleotides) under Pelobates cultripes (western spadefoot toad). RNAcentral describes it as "SSU_rRNA_microsporidia". It matches the Rfam family "Eukaryotic small subunit ribosomal RNA", at positions 194 to 471 of the family's 1831-position model. Lineage: Eukaryota; Metazoa; Chordata; Amphibia; Anura; Pelobatidae. The record is from RNAcentral.